Molecule: ribosomal RNA, 199 nt
Filed under: uncultured soil bacterium
Lineage: Bacteria
Description: partial 16S ribosomal RNA
Rfam family: Bacterial small subunit ribosomal RNA
Source: RNAcentral
UACUCCUACGGGAGGCAGCAGUGAGGAAUUUUGCGCAAUGGGGGAAACCCUGACGCAGCAACGCCGCGUGGGUGAAGAAGGCCUUCGGGUCGUAAAGCCCUGUCAGGUGGGAAGAACCGGCAGGUGGGGAACACUCAUCUGCUCUGACGGUACCACCAGAGGAAGCACCGGCUAACUCCGUGCCAGCAGCCGCGGUAAU